AGCUCCAAUAGCGUAUACUAAAGUUGUUGCAGUUAAAAGCUCGUAGUUGGAUUUCUGCGCGGGUGGGGCGCCCACUGUCCUAAGUGACGGGUUGGGCAGCAACGCCCGCGCAUCCUGUCGCGAACCACGCUACCAUUAGUUUGGUGGCGUUUUGGGGACCGACUCGUUUACUUUGAGAAAAAUAGAGUGUUCAAAGCAGGCAGCUCGCCUUGAAUAAUGUAGCAUGGAAUAAUGAUAAAGGACUUUGGUUCUAUUUUGUUGGUGUUCGGGACCGAAGUAAUGAUUGAUAGGGACAGUUGGGGGCGUCUGUAUUCUGAAGCGAGAGGUGAAAUUCUAAGACCUUCGGAAGACAAACAGCUGCGAAAGCGUUCGCCAAGGAUGUUCCCU
RNAcentral lists this ribosomal RNA (387 nucleotides) under uncultured eukaryote. RNAcentral's name for it is "SSU rRNA". It matches the Rfam family "Eukaryotic small subunit ribosomal RNA", at positions 587 to 972 of the family's 1831-position model. The record is from RNAcentral.